Molecule: non-coding RNA, 75 nt
Organism: Myotis davidii
Lineage: Eukaryota; Metazoa; Chordata; Mammalia; Chiroptera; Vespertilionidae
Source: Rfam
GGUGGUUCUCGGGUGAUGUAUCCCAGAAUCGGGCUCCCUCUUCUAUGGUUCCUAGUGUGUCACCCGAGAACCGCA